GAAAACAUGAAAAAAAAUUAAAAACUAAAAAUGAAAGAAAGUAAAUAAAGUAAUAAAUUGAAAAUGUUUAAAAAAUUUCCUAAGUCACCCCCACACUUUAUUCAACACGUUGUCUCUAAUGUGCAAUUAAAAAUAUAAAGGAUGGGACUACUCCUCCUUUAAGUUUUGGUCACAAUGGUAGUGCCGUCACAGAUUUCGAGUUUCCUACAAAGGAAAAUCAACAAACGAAUAUAGGAAAUACUAAAUCCUAACUAAUUAAAAAUUAAACCAAAAAUUAAAAAUAAUUCCAAAUAAAAAAAAGUAAAAGGUCCCAAAAAUAAAAAUAAAAACUUGUCCAGAAUUAGUCGAACUUAGGUUCUGACUCUUCAUCAGCAUUGCUUGGUUUGCCUUCCGACUCCUCCCCCG
This 405-nucleotide long non-coding RNA is filed under the name Gossypium raimondii (Peruvian cotton). RNAcentral's name for it is "long non-coding RNA (GRAI_LNC009123)". The record is from RNAcentral. Lineage: Eukaryota; Viridiplantae; Streptophyta; Magnoliopsida; Malvales; Malvaceae.